Molecule: long non-coding RNA, 1182 nt
Filed under: Mytilus galloprovincialis (Mediterranean mussel)
Lineage: Eukaryota; Metazoa; Mollusca; Bivalvia; Mytilida; Mytilidae
Source: RNAcentral
AUAUUUUGACUGUUUAUUGUUUAUAACUAAAUAAAUAGUUAUAGAUAUACAUCUUUUAACAAACAAAAAACAUUAACUGGUAACAUAUCAAUUACAGAAAUACUUCUUUAUCAUAAGCUAUGAUUUCCAAUAACCUUAGAUUUAUGACUUUGAAUAUAUUUUUUAGCCAGCAUAUCGUCAUACUUAUCCUGUAACAUGUGUAUGACAGAUAGGUAAAAUAGUUACAGAAGUAACUCAGUAAGUUAUUACCUUUAUACUACAGUACAUAAUACUUCAUUUUGAUGCAUAAUGACACAAUUUCACCAUAUGCUAACUUAGAUAGUCUUAAAAAUAAUCAAUAUUCAAAAUACUGAAAAGUCAGAAAUAUUAACGAAGUUUUCAUACAUGCAAAAAUUACAAGGAGAUAGAUUUUGCCCCAAAUCAACCUUGCAUUUUUAUGCUUAUUUAAGAAUUAACUUCUUAUGAUACUUUACUUAAAAGAUAGGAAUUUGUAUGUUGCAUUUCUUAAAUCACAAUAAUUAUGGCACCCUCAACGGAUGUUGGGGUGACAUAUUGUUAUUCUACGUUUCUUUUUUUUCUUAUUAUUUUUAUUUUUCUUCCACACAUUUUGUCCGCGCGAGUUCUCGGAAUUGAACGGACCAAUGUUUAUGGAACUCAACUAUAAUGAGGAACCCCAUUUGAAGUUGUGCACCUUGCUAUGGAAUGGUAAAAAAUGGCCGCCGUUUCCAUGGAAACAGCACAAAUGCGAAAAAAAUCAAAGUGUUCCAAACUGGAAGAAACUCCACAGGAAUGUUAACUGGCAUGUGCUGAUUUCCAGUUUGACUUUGGAAUUUUCAAAAUGGCUGCCGUUACCAUGGAAACAGCUAAAAUAUCAAAAAUUCUAACUCUUUCGUUAUAAGAUCCAACUGGAUGAAACUUUAUGAAAAUGUUCUCCAGUAUGCCAAGAUGUCAAGACAAUAUUUGGAUAGUUCAAAAUGGCCGCCGUUGUCAUGGAAACUGGGGCCCAGUUUUGCAUUGACCCUAUGGAAAAAUGCAUAAAAUCAGCAUUUUCUCAGAGAGUAGUGCACCAAAGUAAAUGAAACUGUAUUGAUAUAUAACAUGACAUGUGGCAAUGAGAUGUACGCUUUUAGAAUUUUGGAAUUAUCUACUGUAACCAUGGUUGCAGCACAAAUGUUCAAAAUU